UUAGGGUAUGGGUUAGGGUAUGGGUUAGGGUAUGGGUUAGGGUGUGGUUUAGGGUGUGGAUUAGGGUGUGGGUUAGGGUGUGGGUUAGGGUGUGGGUUAGGGUGUGGGUUAGGGUGUGGGUUAGGGUGUGGGUUAGGGUGUGGUUUAGGGUGUGGGUUAGAGUGUGGGUUAGGGUGUGGGUUAGGGUGUGGGUUAGGGUGUAGGUUAGGGUGUGGGUUAGGGUGUGGGUUAGAGUGUGGGUUAAGGCGUGGGUUUAGUGUUUUAGGGUUAG
Non-coding RNA from Paramuricea clavata, 271 nucleotides. Lineage: Eukaryota; Metazoa; Cnidaria; Anthozoa; Malacalcyonacea; Plexauridae. The record is from the annotation of a GenBank genome assembly.